RNAcentral lists this ribosomal RNA (651 nucleotides) under uncultured bacterium. Its description in RNAcentral is "bacterial SSU rRNA". It matches the Rfam family "Bacterial small subunit ribosomal RNA", at positions 28 to 674 of the family's 1533-position model. The record is from RNAcentral.
AUUGAACGCUGGCGGAAUGCUUUACACAUGCAAGUCGAACGGCAGCACGGACUUCGGUCUGGUGGCGAGUGGCRAACGGGUGAGUAACAUAUCGGAACGUAUCCAAUAAUGGGGGAUAACUAAUCGAAAGGUUGGCUAAUACCGCAUACGCCCUACGGGGGAAAGCUAGGGACCUUCGGGCCUGGCGUUAAUGGAGCGGCCGAUAUCUGAUUAGCUAGUUGGUGGGGUAAAGGCCCACCAAGGCGACGAUCAGUAGCUGGUCUGAGAGGACGACCAGCCACACUGGAACUGAGACACGGUCCAGACUCCUACGGGAGGCAGCAGUGGGGAAUUUGGGACAAUGGGCGCAAGCCUGAUCCAGCCAUUCCGCGUGAGUGAAGAAGGCCUUCGGGUUGUAAAGCUCUUUCGCAAGGGAAGAAAACUUAGCCACUAACAUUGGCUGAGGUUGACGGUACCUUGAUAAGAAGCACCGGCUAACUACGUGCCAGCAGCCGCGGUAAUACGUAGGGUGCGAGCGUUAAUCGGAAUUACUGGGCGUAAAGCGUGCGCAGGCGGCCUUGAAAGUCAGAUGUGAAAUCCCCGAGCUCAACUUGGGAACUGCGUUUGAAACUCCAAGGCUAGAAUAUGUCAGAGGGGGGUAGAAUUCCACGU